RNAcentral lists this unclassified non-coding RNA (22 nucleotides) under Mus musculus (house mouse). Its description in RNAcentral is "oocyte_clustered_small_RNA10514". The record is from RNAcentral. Lineage: Eukaryota; Metazoa; Chordata; Mammalia; Rodentia; Muridae.
UGCUCCAUGGUUUUUCAUCUUG